RNAcentral lists this transfer RNA (74 nucleotides) under Merluccius polli (Benguela hake). It matches the Rfam family "tRNA". Rfam says of the family: Transfer RNA (tRNA) molecules are approximately 80 nucleotides in length. Lineage: Eukaryota; Metazoa; Chordata; Actinopteri; Gadiformes; Merlucciidae. The record is from Rfam by way of RNAcentral.
GUUUCUGUAGUGUAGUGGUUAUCACGUUCGCCUAACACGCGAAAAGGGCUCCGGUUCAAAACCGGACAGAAACA